Molecule: ribosomal RNA, 253 nt
Filed under: uncultured bacterium
Lineage: Bacteria
Description: partial 16S ribosomal RNA
Rfam family: Bacterial small subunit ribosomal RNA
Source: RNAcentral
UCCUAGCUGUAAACGAUGGACACUAGGUGUUAGUGGUAUCGACCCCACUAGUGCCGUAGCUAACGCAAUAAGUGUCCCGCCUGGGGAGUACGGCCGCAAGGUUGAAACUCAAAGGAAUUGACGGGGGCCCGCACAAGCGGUGGAGCAUGUGGUUCAAUUCGUCAUUAACCGAAGAACCUUACCAGGGUUUGACAUCUUCCGAAUCCCGAUGAAAGUCGGGAGUGCCCUCACAAGGGGAGCGGAAAGACAGGUG